This 90-nucleotide transfer RNA is filed under the name Plenodomus lingam JN3. RNAcentral's name for it is "tRNA-Pro for anticodon UGG". It matches the Rfam family "tRNA". Rfam says of the family: Transfer RNA (tRNA) molecules are approximately 80 nucleotides in length. Their secondary structure includes four short double-helical elements and three loops (D, anti-codon, and T loops). Lineage: Eukaryota; Fungi; Ascomycota; Dothideomycetes; Pleosporales; Leptosphaeriaceae. The record is from Rfam by way of RNAcentral.
GGCUCAAUGGUCUAGUAGUAUGAUUCCUGCUUUGGGUACUUCAAAUGUCUUAAAUGCAGGAGGUCCUGGGUUCAAUUCCCAGUUGAGCCC